GUUGUAUGGUUAAGUGACGAAGCGUAUACGGUGGAUGCCUUGGCAGUUAGAGGCGAUGAAGGACGUGUAAGUCUGCGAAAAGCUGUGGUGAGCCGACAAAAUGCAUUUGAGCCACAGAUGUCCGAAUGGGGAAACCCGCCUGUUUACAGGUAUCGUUACGUGAAUACAUAGCGUAACGAGGCGAACGAGGGGAACUGAAACAUCUAAGUACCCUUAGGAAAAGAAAUCAAACGAGAUUCCCCUAGUAGCGGCGAGCGAACGGGGAACAGCCCUUAAGCUGUUUAGUGUGUAGUGGAAUCCUUUGGGAAGAGGAGCGAUACAGGGUGAUAGCCCCGUACACAAAGCGUGCUUUACAGUGAAAUCGAGUAGGUCGGGACACGUGUUAUCUUGACUGAAUAUGGGGGGACCAUCCUCCAAGGCUAAAUACUCCUAACUGACCGAUAGUGAACCAGUACCGUGAGGGAAAGGCGAAAAGAACCCCUGUGAGGGGAGUGAAAUAGAACCUGAAACCGUAUACGUACAAGCAGUGGGAGCCCUUCGGGGUGACUGCGUACCUUUUGUAUAAUGGGUCAGCGACUUAUAUUUAGUAGCAAGGUUAAGCGAAUAGCGGAGCCGUAGCGAAAGCGAGUGUUAACUGCGCGUUUAGUUGCUAGGUAUAGACCCGAAACCCGGUGAUCUAGCCAUGAGCAGGUUGAAGGUUGAGUAACAUCAACUGGAGGACCGAACCCACUGACGUUGAAAAGUCAGGGGAUGACUUGUGGCUGGGGGUGAAAGGCCAAUCAAACCGGGAGAUAGCUGGUUCUCCCCGAAAUCUAUUUAGGUAGAGCCUCGGACGAAUUCCAUUGGGGGUAGAGCACUGUUAAGGCUAGGGGGUCAUCCCGACUUACCAACCCUUUGCAAACUCCGAAUACCAAUGAGAACUAUCCGGGAGACACACGGCGGGUGCUAACGUCCGUCGUGGAGAGGGAAACAACCCAGACCGCCAGCUAAGGUCCCAAAAUAUUGCUAAGUGGGAAACGAUGUGGGAAGGCACAGACAGCUAGGAGGUUGGCUUAGAAGCAGCCACCCUUUAAAGAAAGCGUAAUAGCUCACUAGUCGAGUCGGCCUGCGCGGAAGAUGUAACGGGGCUAAGCAAUAUACCGAAGCUGCGGCAGCAUGUUUACAUGCUGGGUAGGGGAGCGUUGUGUAAGUGGAUGAAGGUGAGUUGUAAAGCUUGCUGGACAUAUCACAAGUGCGAAUGCUGACAUGAGUAACGAUAAUGGGAGUGAAAAACUCCCACGCCGGAAGACCAAGGUUUCCUGUCCCAUGCUAAUCAGGGCAGGGUAAGUCGGCCCCUAAGGCGAGGCAGAAAUGCGUAGUCGAUGGGAAACGGAUUAAUAUUUCCGUACUUAUAUAAUCAGUGAUGGAGGGACGGAGAAGGCUAGGCAAGCUUGGCGUUGGUUGUCCAAGUGAAAGCGAGUAGGCCGAGAAUUUAGGUAAAUCCGGAUUCUUAAAGCUGAGACGCGAGACGAGCUCCCAAGGGAGUGAAGUUGUUGAUGCCCUGCUUCCAGGAAAAGCUUCUAAACUUAUGAUUAUAUGAACCGUACCCCAAACCGACACAGGUGGUCAGGUAGAGAAUACUAAGGCGCUUGAGAGAACUCGGGUGAAGGAACUCGGCAAAAUUGUACCGUAACUUCGGGAGAAGGUACGCCUCUGUUUGUGAACACUUCGCGUGGUAAGCAAAUGGAGGCCGCAGUGACCAGGUGGCUGGGACUGUUUAUUAAAAACACAGCACUCUGCAAACUCGUAAGAGGACGUAUAGGGUGUGACACCUGCCCGGUGCCGGAAGGUUAAUUGAUGGGGUUAGUCCUCGGACGAAGCUCUUGAUCGAAGCCCCGGUAAACGGCGGCCGUAACUAUAACGGUCCUAAGGUAGCGAAAUUCCUUGUCGGGUAAGUUCCGACCUGCACGAAUGGUGUAACCAUGGCCACGCUGUCUCCACCCGAGACUCAGUGAAAUUGAAAUCGCAGUGAAGAUGCUGUGUACCCGCACCUAGACGGAAAGACCCCGUGAACCUUUACUACAGCUUGGCACUGAACAUUGAACCUACAUGUGUAGGAUAGGUGGGAGGCUUUGAAGCACAGUCGCUAGAUUGUGUGGAGCCGUCCUUGAAAUACCACCCUUGUAUGUUUGAUGUUCUAACAUUGGCCCCUUAUCGGGGUUGUGGACAGUGUCUGGUGGGUAGUUUGACUGGGGCGGUCUCCUCCCAAAUAGUAACGGAGGAGCACGAAGGUUAGCUAAUCACGGUCGGACAUCGUGAGGUUAGUGCAAUGGCAUAAGCUAGCUUAACUGCGAGACAGACACGUCGAGCAGGUACGAAAGUAGGUCAUAGUGAUCCGGUGGUUCUGUAUGGAAGGGCCAUCGCUCAACGGAUAAAAGGUACUCCGGGGAUAACAGGCUGAUACCGCCCAAGAGUUCAUAUCGACGGCGGUGUUUGGCACCUCGAUGUCGGCUCAUCACAUCCUGGGGCUGAAGUCGGUCCCAAGGGUAUGGCUGUUCGCCAUUUAAAGUGGUACGCGAGCUGGGUUUAGAACGUCGUGAGACAGUUCGGUCCCUAUCUGGUGUGGGCGUUGGAUGAUUGAUGGGAGCUGCUCCUAGUACGAGAGGACCGGAGUGGACGAACCGCUGGUGUUCGGGUUGUCAUGCCAAUGGCAUUGCCCGGUAGCUAUGUUCGGAACGGAUAACCGCUGAAAGCAUCUAAGCGGGAAGCCGGCCCAAAGAUGAGUCAUCCCUGACCUUUAAGGUCUGGAAGGGUUGUUAUAGACGAUGACGUUGAUAGGCAGGGUGUGGAAGCGUUGUAAGGCGUUAAGCUAACCUGUACUAAUUGCCCGAGAGGCUUAACCAUACAACGCCUAA
This 2894-nucleotide ribosomal RNA is filed under the name Alteromonas mediterranea. RNAcentral's name for it is "bacterial LSU rRNA". It matches the Rfam family "Bacterial large subunit ribosomal RNA". Lineage: Bacteria; Pseudomonadati; Pseudomonadota; Gammaproteobacteria; Alteromonadales; Alteromonadaceae. The record is from RNAcentral.